RNA transcript from Lotus japonicus, 2953 nucleotides. It is a transcript of the gene named mitogen-activated protein kinase 19-like, with no coding region annotated. The transcript is spliced from 5 exons. NCBI's taxonomy places the organism in Eukaryota, Viridiplantae, Streptophyta, Magnoliopsida, Fabales, Fabaceae. The record is from RefSeq and is a predicted model, not a curated record.
AAUUUCUUUAAGACCGAAAAAAGACAAAUAAAUAUAUAAAUGGAAAUUUUGUCCCCUUCUUCUCUCCUGCUACUUUGGAUCUCUCUCUGUCCUCUGAGGCCAGAUCUUCUGAACUGUAGAAUUCUACUUCUGCUACAACUUCAACUUUUUCUCGUUCUCUCUGCGACGCUUUUUGUUGCUGAAUUUGAAGUUGGAGCUUCAAUCUGGGUUUUCUUUUGGUUAGCGAGGGAAGUGGAAGACCCAGGAGGUUGCUUUCUGUUUGAUCUGUUCCUAGAAAGAAGGAAGGAACAACGAAAAACAAGAUGCAGCAAAAUCAGCCCAAACAAGUUUUUUUUUUUUUUUAUCUUUCUUCGAUUUCAUGAUUGUUGUUCUGAGUUUUUUACGAUGCUUUGAACUAACAUGGAGCUGGGAGAUUUGAAGAAAAUUGAUAAUUGGAAACUGGGGUGGCUGAAAAAGGAUGAUAAAUAAUUUCAUUUUUUAUAAAAGGAUAAUAAAUCCAAGGGUUAAUUAAACCCUUAAUUUGCUUUACGUUUACAUACUUGUAUUUUUGUUGGUGUUAGUUUUUAUGUGAUUGCAGUUAUGAUUUAUGAACAAGCAUCACUGUUGUUGACAUUUGUUGAUUAAUGGUGGAUGUUGUUCAGUUUCCAUUGAUUGUCUUGUGCCUUUGAUCAUUUCGUUUUUGUAUUCGUUAAAAUUUUCACAUAUUAUUGGAGUCCAAUUGAGUGUAUUUUUAUAUACUUUUUUGAAAGAAUUGUUCACCAGAUUUUAUUAGUUCAAUUGGAGUCCAACUGCCUUGUGCCUCGCUCUGUAAAGCUGAAACUGAAAGAUUAGUUAAUCUUUUAUCCUCAUUCCUAGUUUGAUUUGGUUCUUUAUAUAUGUUUUGUUUUCCAGUUGAUUGCGGUUAUUUUCCUUUUGUAAUAAGAUGUAUAGAACAGAACAUUUUGAAGAGGUAGAUUUUUUCAUUGAGUACAGCGAUGCCAAUAGAUAUAAAAUUCUUGAAGUAAUUGGGAAGGGUAGCUAUGGAGUUGUAUGUGCAGCAAUUGACACGCACACAGGGGGAAUGGUUGUAAUAAAAAAGAUUCAUAAUGCUUUUGAACAUAUUUCUGAUGCUAUUAGAAUCCUCCGGGAAGUCAAGUUGCUAAGACUAUUAAGGCACCCUGAUAUUGUUGAGAUUAAGCGGAUCAUCUUGCCACCUUCAAGGAGGGAGUUUAAAGAUAUUUAUGUAGUCUUUGAGCUUAUGGAAUAUGAUCUCCAUCAAGUCAUCAAAGCUAAUGACGACUUGAUUCGUGAACACAAUCAGUUUUUUCUUUAUCAGAUACUGCGUGCAUUGAAGUUCAUGCAUACAGGUCAUAUAUCUUUCAUUUUUUGCCUUUAUAAUUUCUCUCGCUGCAUUAUUACCAUAUAUCCAUAAAAUAUGGCACCAAAUUGCUUCUAAAUGAUCUCAUGAUGGGGUGAUUCUCCUGAAAAUUUAAAUCUGGAGCUGAAAAUCUUACCACAUUUUUUCGUUUGAGUGGAAGCUAGAUUUGUGGAGCAUGUUCAUGCUGGAUGUUAGACACAUACUAUUAAAGUCAAGUAAUUGUCGAUGAAGGAAAAUUAAGUAAAAUCAUUCUGGUAGAAGUUUAUUAUUAAAGUAUUAAACCAUUCAUGUAUACACCAAGCAGCUUAAGCUUUUGGAAUGAUUGGUUCAUGACAUGGUAUGGAGUCCGAUCCUUGUUACCCCAUUAUUUGGAUAAAAGAAAGAUAAACUUCGGCACAAGGUAGGUGGAACACGACAUUGUAUAAGAGCAUAUUGGUCAUCCAGACAAAGCUUGCACCAUGGCUGGCCAACAGAUUGAGGCCAAUAGGCUCUUGUGUGACAGGCGCUAGAAAAAUAAUAUAAAACCAUUUUUUUGUCUUCGCCCAACAGCUUCAACUUUUUGGAUAGUUGGUUGAUUGGUUCAUGACACUUCCCAAUUAAACUGUUUUUUGGACCGUAGACCUGUAGGUAGGAACAUGGAGGAAAUAAGAAGCAGCUAUGCAUUGAAUGAUUUGAAAGUUCAAACCAUUUUAUGUCAGCAAUGUGGUAUAUUUUCAGUUUUUAAUCAAUUUCUUUCCACUAAUUUAGAAAGUAAAUUGUGUUCAUCCCUGAAAGGGAAAUGGGAAAUGCAUUUUCCUUUCAUUACUUCUAGAGAUACUGCACUUAUUUCUGCAUGAAAUGCUUUCUGUGUGAUUUAUAGUAAACAGUAAUGCCUAGAUUAUAAUAAUUCUUGUUUAGGGAGGAAUAUUGAUCUCUCCUGGAAGUUGAAUUUAUCUGUCCUUCAGCAAUUGAUAUAUGGAGCAUUGGAUGCAUAUUUGCAGAGGUCCUGACAGGAAAGCCAUUGUUUCCUGGUAAAAGUGUUGUGCAUCAAUUAGAUUUGAUUACUGAUCUUCUUGGGAGACCAUCACCUGAAGUUAUUGCAGGAGUUCGAAAUGAGAAGGCAAGGAAGUACUUGACGGAAAUGCGGAAAAAAGCUGUUGUGCCAUUUGAACAAAAAAUUCCAAUUGCUGAUCCACUGGCACUUCGCAUUUGAUCCAAAGGAUCAGCCAACUGCUAAGGAGGUCCGCUGUUCAUUCUGCUACAAUUGCGCCUAGUACACAACAAUCAUUCACUCCAGAUGUGAACAAACAAAUCUCAGAAAAGGCACCCAAGUUUCCAAGGGUUGUAGAAUCAAGGGGUUUACGACCUCCACCAAAGGUGCCGACAGCCAAUCCAUGUAGAGUUGUUGGGCCGGUUCACUAUAACAAUGGUAGAAGCGCAUAAAAGACACUUAUGACCCAAGAAUCUUCUACGGGAAUACUCUUCCUUAAGCAGGCUCUCCACACUGUUUCCACAGGGUGCACCCCACUAUCGGAAAAACUACAUCAGAAACAUAUGUAAAGUUGAUUGUAUACAUCAUUUAUUAAUUAAUAAAAAGAAAAGUUGAUUGUUUCUCUC